RNAcentral lists this ribosomal RNA (914 nucleotides) under uncultured Nitrososphaerota archaeon. RNAcentral describes it as "bacterial SSU rRNA". It matches the Rfam family "Archaeal small subunit ribosomal RNA", at positions 1 to 922 of the family's 1478-position model. Lineage: Archaea; Thermoproteati; Nitrososphaerota. The record is from RNAcentral.
UUCCGGUUGAUCCUGCCGGACCAGACUGCUAUCGGAUUGAUACUAAGCCAUGCGAGUCAUUGUAGCAAUACAAGGCAGACGGCUCAGUAACGCGUAGUCAACCUAACCUAUGGACGGGAAUAACCUCGGGAAACUGAGAAUAAUGCCCGAUAGAACACUAUAUCUGGAAUGGUUUGUGUUCCAAAUGAUUUAUCGCCGUAGGAUGGGACUGCGGCCUAUCAGUUUGUUGGUGAGGUAAUGGCCCACCAAGACUAUUACAGGUACGGGCUCUGAGAGGAGUAGCCCGGAGAUGGGUACUGAGACACGGACCCAGGCCCUAUGGGGCGCAGCAGGCGAGAAAACUUUGCAAUGUGCGAAAGCACGACAAGGUUAAUCCGAGUGGUUUGUGCUAAACGAACCUUUUGUCGGUCCUAGAAACACCGAUGAAUAAGGGGUGGGCAAGUUCUGGUGUCAGCCGCCGCGGUAAAACCAGCACCUCAAGUGGUCAGGAUGAUUAUUGGGCCUAAAGCAUCCGUAGCCGGCGCUAUAAGUUUUCGGUUAAAUCUGUACGCUCAACGUACAGGCUGCCGGGAAUACUGUAGCGCUAGGGAGUGGGAGAGGUAGACGGUACUCGGUAGGAAGGGGUAAAAUCCUUUGAUCUAUUGAUGACCACCUGUGGCGAAGGCGGUCUACCAGAACACGUCCGACGGUGAGGGAUGAAAGCUGGGGGAGCAAACCGGAUUAGAUACCCGGGUAGUCCCAGCUGUAAACUAUGCAAACUCAGUGAUGCAUUGGCUUGUGGCCAAUGCAGUGCUGCAGGGAAGCCGUUAAGUUUGCCGCCUGGGAAGUACGUACGCAAGUAUGAAACUUAAAGGAAUUGGCGGGGGAGCACCACAAGGGGUGAAGCCUGCGGUUCAAUUGGAUUCAACGCCGGA